Molecule: long non-coding RNA, 356 nt
Filed under: Gallus gallus (chicken)
Lineage: Eukaryota; Metazoa; Chordata; Aves; Galliformes; Phasianidae
Description: long non-coding RNA NONGGAT007994
Source: RNAcentral
CAGCUGUCCUGGCUCUGCCACACCCUUGUUGCUGCACCAUAGAGGCAGUGUCUCUGGCCUGCUGAGUGGUCCUAUCUGUGCUCCCACAACAUUGGUGUGCUAUGAACACUGUCUCAGCUGAAGCCAGGACAGUCACCCUUGAGUUAAUACUUGGGAUGUUCUGAAGACUUGAUACACAGUCCUUCCAGUGGCACAUAAGACAACUGACGACAGCAGCAGCACAGUUGGGCAUGAAGGUUUUAUGCCUAUGUCUGUUCAGAAAUGCCCUUUCAGUUAUGUACUCCCAUAAACUGAAUCAGCAUAUAAAUCUGCACGCUAUGCAAUAGAUGUAUAUGUAGCGGAGGCGCUGGGAUCCA